GACGAACGCUGGCGGCGUGCUUAACACAUGCAAGUCGAACGGAAAGGCCCUGCUUUUGUGGAGUGCUCGAGUGGCGAACGGGUGAGUAACACGUGAGUAACCUGCCCUUGACUUUGGGAUAACUUCAGGAAACUGGGGCUAAUACCGGAUAGGAGCUCCUGCUGCAUGGUGGGGGUUGGAAAGUUUCGGCGGUUGGGGAUGGACUCGCGGCUUAUCAGCUUGUUGGUGGGGUAGUGGCUUACCAAGGCUUUGACGGGUAGCCGGCCUGAGAGGGUGACCGGCCACAUUGGGACUGAGAUACGGCCCAGACUCCUACGGGAGGCAGCGGUGGGGAAUAUUGCACAAUGGGCGGAAGCCUGAUGCAGCAACGCCGCGUGCGGGAUGACGGCCUUCGGGUUGUAAACCGCUUUCGCCUGUGACGAAGCGUGAGUGACGGUAAUGGGUAAAGAAGCACCGGCUAACUACGUG
This 468-nucleotide ribosomal RNA is filed under the name uncultured bacterium. Its description in RNAcentral is "partial 16S ribosomal RNA". It matches the Rfam family "Bacterial small subunit ribosomal RNA", at positions 28 to 507 of the family's 1533-position model. The record is from RNAcentral.